GUGGUGGCUCAGUGAUAGAGCACUUGCCUGGCAUGUGUGAGGCACUGGGUUCGAUCCUUAGCACCACA
This 68-nucleotide transfer RNA is filed under the name Marmota monax (woodchuck). RNAcentral's name for it is "tRNA.Ala". The record is from RNAcentral. Lineage: Eukaryota; Metazoa; Chordata; Mammalia; Rodentia; Sciuridae.